This 72-nucleotide transfer RNA is filed under the name Camelus bactrianus (Bactrian camel). It matches the Rfam family "tRNA". Rfam says of the family: Transfer RNA (tRNA) molecules are approximately 80 nucleotides in length. Their secondary structure includes four short double-helical elements and three loops (D, anti-codon, and T loops). RNAcentral also lists the same sequence under 2 other names. The record is from Rfam by way of RNAcentral. Lineage: Eukaryota; Metazoa; Chordata; Mammalia; Artiodactyla; Camelidae.
GGAGGGAUGGCUCAGUGGUAGAAUGUGUGCUUAGCAUGCACGAGGUCCUGGGUUCAAUCCCCAGUACCUCGA